UACGUAGGGUGCAAGCGUUGUCCGGAAUUAUUGGGCGUAAAGAGUUCGUAGGCGGUUUGUCGCGUCUGCUGUGAAAUCCCGAGGCUCAACCUCGGGUCUGCAGUGGGUACGGGCAGACUGGAGUGCGGUAGGGGAGAAUGGAAUUCCUGGUGUAGCGGUGGAAUGCGCAGAUAUCAGGAGGAACACCGAUGGCGAAGGCAGUUCUCUGGGCCGUGACUGACGCUGAGACGCGAAAGCGUGGGGAGCGAACAGG
RNAcentral lists this ribosomal RNA (253 nucleotides) under uncultured bacterium. Its description in RNAcentral is "partial 16S ribosomal RNA". It matches the Rfam family "Bacterial small subunit ribosomal RNA", at positions 524 to 776 of the family's 1533-position model. The record is from RNAcentral.